Stegodyphus mimosarum is the source of this 72-nucleotide non-coding RNA. Lineage: Eukaryota; Metazoa; Arthropoda; Arachnida; Araneae; Eresidae. The record is from Rfam.
GCCUUCGUGGUGUAACGGUUAGCACACUCGGCGCGUAUUCAAGAGGUCUAAGUUCGAGUCCCGGCGAGGGCA